GGCCGCGUAGCGCAAUGGACAACGCGUCUGUCUACGGAGCAGAAGGUUGCAGGUUCGAGUCAUGUCAUGGUCG
This 73-nucleotide transfer RNA is filed under the name Angiostrongylus costaricensis. It matches the Rfam family "tRNA". Rfam says of the family: Transfer RNA (tRNA) molecules are approximately 80 nucleotides in length. Their secondary structure includes four short double-helical elements and three loops (D, anti-codon, and T loops). Further hydrogen bonds mediate the characteristic L-shaped molecular structure. tRNAs have two regions of fundamental functional importance: the anti-codon, which is responsible for specific mRNA codon recognition, and the 3' end, to which the tRNAs corresponding amino acid is attached (by aminoacyl-tRNA synthetases). tRNAs cope with the degeneracy of the genetic code in two manners: having more than one tRNA (with a specific anti-codon) for a particular amino acid; and 'wobble' base-pairing, i.e. permitting non-standard base-pairing at the 3rd anti-codon position. The record is from Rfam by way of RNAcentral. Lineage: Eukaryota; Metazoa; Nematoda; Chromadorea; Rhabditida; Metastrongylidae.